This 267-nucleotide ribosomal RNA is filed under the name uncultured bacterium. RNAcentral's name for it is "partial 16S ribosomal RNA". It matches the Rfam family "Bacterial small subunit ribosomal RNA", at positions 87 to 354 of the family's 1533-position model. The record is from RNAcentral.
UUAAGUUAGUGGCGGACGGGUGAGUAACGCGUGGGUAACCUGCCGUAUACCGGGGGAUAACACCUGGAAACAGGUGCUAAUACCGCAUAAGCGCACGGGACCGCAUGGUCCAGUGUGAAAAACCGAGGUGGUAUGCGAUGGACCCGCGUCUGAUUAGCCAGUUGGCAGGGUAACGGCCUACCAAAGCGACGAUCAGUAGCCGGCCUGAGAGGGUGGGCGGCCACAUUGGGACUGAGACACGGCCCAAACUCCUACGGGAGGCAGCAG